ACGGGGGGGGCAAGCGUUGUUUGGAAUUACUGGGCGUAAAGGGCGCGUAGGCGGCCUGUUAAGUCGAACGUGAAAUCCCCGGGCUCAACCCGGGAACUGCGUCCGAUACUGGCAGGCUUGAAUCCGGGAGAGGGAUGCGGAAUUCCAGGUGUAGCGGUGAAAUGCGUAGAUAUCUGGAGGAACACCGGUGGCGAAGGCGGCAUCCUGGACCAACACUGACGCUGAGGAGCGAAAGCCAGGGGAGCAAACGGGA
This 253-nucleotide ribosomal RNA is filed under the name uncultured prokaryote. RNAcentral's name for it is "partial 16S ribosomal RNA". It matches the Rfam family "Bacterial small subunit ribosomal RNA", at positions 525 to 777 of the family's 1533-position model. The record is from RNAcentral.